GGGGUCGACUGGUUUUGACAGCGAGUGGAAUUGAUUAGUAAGCACGUCGAGCAUUGUAUGUUUAGCUCGUAAAUCCAAAUGUACAAACCUAUAAACGGCGAAAAUAAUUACGCUUUAGCUGCUUAAUCUGAAUUAUAGUAAGAUUUGCCAAGUUCCUACUAGGUAGGAAAGCUGGAUUCUCCUCAAAAGCCUUGGUUUAUGGCGGUUGGUUUAGGAGAACCGUAAAAGUAAACCUAGGAACGGUAAUGCUUUAAAUCCGUUCUGACACUGACAGAGCUAAGCAAAGAGUGGCGGUUUCUAGCCUUGCUCUUUGUCGAAAAUUCAAGAGGAAACUAAGCGUGUAGAAAGCUAUUUGAUUGCUUGUUUGGACGAGAGUUCGAUUCUCUCCGACUCCACUA
This is a non-coding RNA of Flavobacteria bacterium GWF1_32_7, 398 nucleotides long. Lineage: Bacteria; Pseudomonadati; Bacteroidota; Flavobacteriia. The record is from Rfam.